Molecule: long non-coding RNA, 901 nt
Organism: Podarcis raffonei (Aeolian wall lizard)
Lineage: Eukaryota; Metazoa; Chordata; Lepidosauria; Squamata; Lacertidae
Exons: 3
Source: RefSeq, a predicted model, not a curated record
CUCGCUUACUCCUGUGCGCGUGUGUGAGUGGCCGCGCAAGCGCAGACGCGUCCCUGCGCCUAGAGAAAGCGGGUGAGCCAAAGGCACAUGCGCAGAAGCUCUAAUGUUGCUUUUCCCCCAACGGGUGAGAGAAAACCGAGCUUACUGCGCAGGCGCCUUUACUCUUCUCCCCACCUUCAUCAUAGAAAAGAACGUAAGGAUGUAGCUCCCUCCUCCCUAUCAGGUAGCGAAAGAAUUCUCUUGCGCAAGCGCAUACGCUCUCUGUGCAUGGGACGUACAGAGGAUAACCGCCCACGGAGGGGCUACGGAUAGCAAGAGAGGGAUGACAAAGCGCAGGCGCAGAAAUACCCUCCUCUAUAGGCACAGGUUUUAAAAGAUGGGCAACAACUUAAACGCAGGGGCGGAUGUGUCGGCUUUAAUCCCGCCUCCUCUUCGGAUGCUGCUUGGUCGCCAUGGAUGGUUGUGGUGAGGAUGAGGAAAUGAGAAGUGUGCAUGCUACCAUGAGCUCCUUGGAGGAAAGGGAACUUGUCGCAAAACUGAGAGCCCACCGUGAUUUUUACAGCAGUUUGCUAGAAUACAGCUGAAGCCACAGCUACACCGCAUAGAGCAAUAGCCUUUGCUGGAAUGACCAAGAAGUUGUAGAAAGAGGAAAUGAGCCCAUUUCUUCCCCUUCUUUCUUCUCUAGCAUUGCUGCAUUUUUUUAUUAAAGCUGCAAUACUGUAUUAAUGAAAGAACUAAGCAAUUCUGGUAAAAUGGCCAGAUUAAAAAUCAACAAAUCCAAAUCGGAAUUUAAUCUAUAUGGGUAUUAUUCCAUCUGAACAGUCAAUCAUUCAAAAACAGAUGAGCUGUAAAAUCUGCCGCAAGGUAAUAAAAUAUUUGGGAGUGCAAAAAUCUUAUCAGC